This 497-nucleotide ribosomal RNA is filed under the name uncultured bacterium. Its description in RNAcentral is "partial 16S ribosomal RNA". It matches the Rfam family "Bacterial small subunit ribosomal RNA", at positions 28 to 507 of the family's 1533-position model. The record is from RNAcentral.
GAUGAACGCUGGCGGCGUGCCUAAUACAUGCAAGUCGAGCGAACGGACGAGAAGCUUGCUUCUCUGAUGUUAGCGGCGGACGGGUGAGUAACACGUGGAUAACCUACCUAUAAGACUGGGAUAACUUCGGGAAACCGGAGCUAAUACCGGAUAAUAUUUUGAACCGCAUGGUUCAAAAGUAAAAGACGGUCUUGCUGUCACUUAUAGAUGGAUCCGCGCUGCAUUAGCUAGUUGGUAAGGUAACGGCUUACCAAGGCAACGAUGCAUAGCCGACCUGAGAGGGUGAUCGGCCACACUGGAACUGAGACACGGUCCAGACUCCUACGGGAGGCAGCAGUAGGGAAUCUUCCGCAAUGGGCGAAAGCCUGACGGAGCAACGCCGCGUGAGUGAUGAAGGUCUUCGGAGCGUGAAACUCUGUUAUGAGGGAAGAACAUAUGUGUAAGUAACUGUGCACAUCUUGACGGUACCUAAUCAGAAAGCCACGGCUAACUACGUG